AUGUUUAAGAGCUCACAGUGCCCCACGAAGAAGGCCUCUCAAGCCCAGGAAGCUGAAGCCAGCCAGGGAAGGAAGGGUGAGAGGGCAGCCCGUGCAGCGUCACACCUCGGGGGGCUUGGGGCAAAACCGAGCAGUUUCUCUGUGCCAGGUGCAGCUCCUUGGACCAGGCAGUGGGAAGAAUUCCAGGGGAAGUGGAACAAACGGGAGGAAAGGAGAGCUCCCUCGUUGGGUGCACCAGGCUGGCUUGUGCCAGCGGCAGGCAGCGAGCGGGAAGGUGCAGGAAGGAGACUUUGGGCGAGGGAGAACACGGUAGGAAGAGGAGCGGAGAGCGGUGGAGAGGCACCAAAAAAAAAGCCUUUAUUUAGUUGCUUCAGAAGGCAUCACUCACUUCAGAUCCCACUGAAAAUAGUCAACAAGCUGUAA
RNAcentral lists this long non-coding RNA (423 nucleotides) under Anser cygnoides (Swan goose). Its description in RNAcentral is "lncRNA (ENSACDG00005001274.1)". The record is from RNAcentral. Lineage: Eukaryota; Metazoa; Chordata; Aves; Anseriformes; Anatidae.